Molecule: long non-coding RNA, 1256 nt
Organism: Lycium barbarum (goji berry)
Lineage: Eukaryota; Viridiplantae; Streptophyta; Magnoliopsida; Solanales; Solanaceae
Exons: 3
Source: RefSeq, a predicted model, not a curated record
UUUUAUUUUCUUUCAGUUUCUACUCUUUAACUACACCCUCUUCCAAUCGUUCAUGUUUAAGUUUGUUUCCACUGUUUUGUUUGCAGAUUUUUUAUUCGAUUGCUUUGAUUUUUAUUUCAAUUUUGCUGAUUUAUUUGGUAUUUGGGUUGUAGUAACGUUGCAUGCACUGAAUUUUGAGUUAUUGGAUGUUGCCGCUGCUUUUGCUCCUUCUCCUCUCCAUCUUCCGGUUUUUAGUUUCUACUUCGAGGAGAAAGGAGAGAAUUGCAAACUUGAGAUGCAGGGAUGAAGCAUAGGAAGCUCAUAUUAAAAAUUCUACCCAUUUUCUGGAGACAUUUCUAUGUUGUUAUACUGCAAGUACAUCGAGCUUACCAAAACCAAGAAAAUGUUGAACUGAAUGAGCUGAAAAUUCAACUCUCUUCGAGCUUAAUGGAGAUAAAACAAACAACAAGCUACCGAAUAUGCUGGAUUACCUUAGAGUGUACAUAUCUCCUUUCUCGGAAAUUGGAACUGACUAACACGUAACAAUGGGUAAGUUGGUAAACUGUUUUUAAUAAUUGAUAUUAUCCUAAACAAACUAGGAUUUUCAUGUGUUUAUAUGCAACGUGGUCUCAUUAUUUUCACCUUUAUAUUUCGGUACGGUCAGAACUAUUGUUAGCUUUGCUUACCAAUCAUUAAAUGCAAAAGUUGUGUAUGGACUGUGAUGCCUUAUACUUGAAGAUACCACGAUUGUGUUAAACUUGGAGAUGUAUGUUAGUUCCUCCGAUCGAGGCAGAUCAUUUCGAUUGCGUGUGCCCAUAGGUAAAUUUUAAAAUUCAUGAAAUUCAAUUGCAUUUAGUUCUAAGACUUGCCAAGGUGAGGAAUUGAAAUUUUACUUCUAUAUAAGAUGUGAAAUUAAAAGAGAGUAAAGUAUCUUAAUUGUUGUAUAGGUUCCUUUGGAAUGUUCUAAAAAUUUAUAAAUAUUAGGAGAGGAACUGCCGAGCCAUUUGAUGUUUCUGUGUUAUAUUUUGAGCACCCCAGUAUUGAUAUUAUGUCAUUUUUUGCACCGAAUAGAGUAUGCUUUAGUUGGCUUUAAAGAUGGUUCUGCAUUUUGCUACUUAAAGUGGCCAAUAGUAAUUACAUAUUGAGCUAAUUUUAUCGCAUCAUAGGUGGUUCAUUUUGUCUCAUCCUCCAAGAAAUGUAUUUAUCUUCAUGAAUGUCUAGUUUGUUUUUCUCAAUUUUUUUUUAUAAAUAUAUUUAUAAAAAAAUUAUUUGUAAAU